This 69-nucleotide transfer RNA is filed under the name Cherax sp. HG-2014b. Its description in RNAcentral is "tRNA-Tyr". The record is from RNAcentral. Lineage: Eukaryota; Metazoa; Arthropoda; Malacostraca; Decapoda; Parastacidae.
AUAAGGUGGCCGAGACUUAAAGGCGUUAGAUUGUAAAUCUAAGUAGAAGUUAAAUAACUUUCUUGUUAA